GUCGAGAGGCUUUGGCAAUGGGGGAAACCCUGACCAAGCGACGCCGCGUGGAGGAUGAAGGCCCUUGGGUCGUAAACUCCUUUUGUUGGGGAAGAAAUGCGACCAGGUGAAUAAUCUGGUCGUUUGACGGUACCCGGCGAAUAAGCUCCGGCUAACUCCGUGCCAGCAGCCGCGGUAACACGGGGGGAGCAAGCGUUGUUCGGAAUCACUGGGCGUAAAGGGCGUGUAGGCGGUCGAGUAAGUGGAAUGUGAAAUGCCCCGGCUCACCCGGGGACCUGCAUUCCAUACUGCUUGGCUCGAGUAUGGGAGAGGAUGAGGGAAUUCCUGGUGUAGCGGUGAAAUGCGUAGAUAUCAGGAGGAACACCGGUGGCGAAAGCGCUCAUCUGGCCCAAUACUGACGCUGAGGCGCGAAAGCUAGGGGAGCAAACGGGAUUAGAUACCCUAGUAGUCC
RNAcentral lists this ribosomal RNA (451 nucleotides) under uncultured bacterium. RNAcentral's name for it is "bacterial SSU rRNA". It matches the Rfam family "Bacterial small subunit ribosomal RNA", at positions 354 to 796 of the family's 1533-position model. The record is from RNAcentral.